Molecule: long non-coding RNA, 1156 nt
Filed under: Pan troglodytes (chimpanzee)
Lineage: Eukaryota; Metazoa; Chordata; Mammalia; Primates; Hominidae
Description: lncRNA (ENSPTRG00000054437.1)
Source: RNAcentral
ACAAGGAGUGGUUGCGAGAUAGGAGGUUUCCCCACUGUGAAAGAUCAUCACGUACUUCCCAAGCUCUGAAUGCGUGAAGAGUGAGGUGCGCGAGGCAUACAUGGGUGGCGGAUGACAUCAUUUUCCACACUGGGGCUCUGCUGCUGCACUCUGAAAGAUUCAUUUCUGAAUGGAGAGACGCUUCGGGUCUCCUGUACCACUCUCAAAGGCCUGAAGGCCAGGAAGACCAGACCAGUCCUCCCAGGGGUCUUCCAGGAUGUCAGGAACGGGGAGGGUAGAGCUUCAGAGGGCUGCAGGUAGAACUGGACCUUCUGCCAGCUCUGAGCAGGUGAUACACUUGGGAUGCAGAAAUGCCACCUGCUCUUGGCCGUCAGCACAGAACCCCACCCACCCACCAGACCACAGAAGGAGGGAACUGGAAUCCAGGUGGUCUGUCUCUUGUUAUACAAGGAUGCUGGAGCUCUGCAUCAAGGUGGCUGAAGAGGCUCUGGAGGGCCAAGGAUGGAAGGUGGCCCCAUGGCACUCAGCCACAGUCUCCAAACCCAACAGGCAAUGAAUUUCCCAGCUACAGCUACAGUCAGCAACACUGAGUCAACAAAGGGACCAGCCUAAUUGUUCUAUGAAAAUUUUGCCUACAAAAAUCUACUUAAGAUAAUGCAUUUGAGGUUUAGACUUGUUAUAGCCUCUAUGAGUACUUUACUCCUAUGGCUGACCAGUGUUCCAUUUUAUUUUUAGACAUACUGCCUUGUGUUUAUUUAUUCAUCCACUGACAUUGACAUCCGAGUGAUGUCCACUUUUUUGAUUACUGUAAAUAGCACUGCUAUAAACAUUGGUGUACGAGUUUUUAUUUGGAAACCUGCUUUCAAUUCUCUUGGGUAUAUACCUAGAAGUACAAUUGCUAUGCAAAGUCAAGGCAGUUAGACACAAAAAACUACAUGUCGUAUGAUUUCAUUUAUGUGAAAUCUCCAGAACAGGCAAAUCCACAGAUACAGAAAACAAAUUUGUGGUCUCCAGGGACUAGAGAUGGGGGAAAUGGGAGUGACUGGAUAAUGGAUACAGAGUUUCCAUUUUGGGUAAUAAAAAAUCAUUCUGUAACUAAUGGUGGUGCUGUACAACAUUGAGAAUGUACACAGUUCUCUGACUUGAAAACUUUAAA